AUCACUUGUUUAUGUUUUUGUUUUACUCGUGGGCAAAGACUAAUAGACAGGUGCAAAAAUAAAUCCUCUUUUGCAACCCAGAACUCACUGACGAUGAGACAGUUUAAU
This 108-nucleotide small nucleolar RNA is filed under the name Carlito syrichta (Philippine tarsier). RNAcentral describes it as "Small nucleolar RNA SNORA40 (ENSTSYG00000025034.2)". It matches the Rfam family "Small nucleolar RNA SNORA40", at positions 1 to 99 of the family's 128-position model. From Rfam's summary of the family: The snoRNA ACA 40 belongs to the H/ACA family of snoRNAs and guides the pseudouridylation of 28S rRNA subunit at position U4565. NB This family has a high threshold value to exclude a large number of closely related sequences that do not appear to have conserved H and ACA boxes, and may be pseudogenes. Lineage: Eukaryota; Metazoa; Chordata; Mammalia; Primates; Tarsiidae. The record is from Rfam by way of RNAcentral.